This 253-nucleotide ribosomal RNA is filed under the name uncultured bacterium. RNAcentral describes it as "partial 16S ribosomal RNA". It matches the Rfam family "Bacterial small subunit ribosomal RNA", at positions 524 to 776 of the family's 1533-position model. The record is from RNAcentral.
UACGGAGGGUGCGAGCGUUAUCCGGAAUUACUGGGUUUAAAGCGUGCGCAGGCGGUUUUGUAAGUCUGGGGUGAAAUCCCCGGGCUCAACCUGGGAAUUGCGUUGGAGACUGCAAGGCUGGAGUCUGGCAGAGGGGGGUAGAAUUCCACGUGUAGCAGUGAAAUGCGUAGAGAUGUGGAGGAACACCGAUGGCGAAGGCAGCCCCCUGGGUCAAGACUGACGCUCAUGCACGAAAGCGUGGGGAGCAAACAGG